Molecule: ribosomal RNA, 351 nt
Filed under: Eukaryota sp.
Lineage: Eukaryota
Description: SSU rRNA
Rfam family: Eukaryotic small subunit ribosomal RNA
Source: RNAcentral
CCGUUAACGAACGAGACCUUUUCCUGCUAAAUAGAACUACUCAGUUUUACUGUGCAUGUUCUUCUUAGAGGGACUUUUGACGUUUAGUCAUAGGAAGCUUGAGGCAAUAACAGGUCUGUGAUGCCCUUAGAUGUUCUGGGCCGCACGCGCGUUACACUGAUGAAGUCAGCGAGUAUUCUCCUUGGCCGAAAGGUCCGGGUAAUCUUAUGAAACUUCAUCGUGCUGGGGAUAGAGCAUUGUAAUUUUUGCUCUUCAACGAGGAAUAUCUAGUAAGCGCAAGUCAUCAACUUGCGUUGAUUACGUCCCUGUUCUUUGUACACACCGCCCGUCGCUAGUACCGAUUGAAUGGAU